Molecule: ribosomal RNA, 1382 nt
Filed under: metagenome
Description: SSU rRNA
Rfam family: Eukaryotic small subunit ribosomal RNA
Source: RNAcentral
UAUCAGCUUUCGAUGGUAGUGUAUUGGACUACCAUGGCGAUAACGGGUAACGGAGAAUUGGGGUUCGAUUCCGGAGAGGGAGCCUGAGAAACGGCUACCAUUUCUAAGGAAGGCAGCAGGCGCGUAAAUUACCCAAUCCUGACUCAGGGAGGUAGUUAAUAGAAAUAAUAGGUUCGGCUCUUUGAGCUCUGAACAUAUAAUGAGGGGAGUCUAAACCACUCUCUGAAUCCUAUUGGAGGGCAAGUCUGGUGCCAGCAGCCGCGGUAAUUCCAGCUCCAAUAGCGUAUAUUAAAGUUGUUGCUGUUAAAAAGCUCGUAGUUGAAGCUCCGGCGCCUGUGCGCCUGUCCGGAAGGGCCCUCGAUACUGUAGAAGGUUUCGGAGGUCUGCACGGACUUUUACUGUGAACAAAUUAAAGUGCUUAAAGCAGGCGUUUGCCUGAAUACUCUAGCAUGGAAUAAUGGAAGAGGACUUUGCCCAUUUUAUUGGUUCUUGGGCGGAGUAAUGGUUAACAGGAACAGUCGGGGGCAUCCGUAUUUGAUAGUCAGAGGUGAAAUUCUUAGAUUUAUCAAAGACGAACUAAAGCGAAAGCAUUUGCCAAGGAUGUUUUCAUUAAUCAAGAACGAAAGUUAGGGGGUCAAAGACGAUUAGAUACCGUCGUAGUCCUAACUAUAAACUAUACCGACUAGGGAUCGGCGGGGAAGCCCCCCGUCGGCACCUAAUGAGAAAUCAAAGUCUUUGGGUUCAGGGGGGAGUAUGGUCGCAAGGCUGAAACUUAAAGGAAUUGACGGAAGGGCACUACCAGGAGUGGAGUCUGCGGCUUAAUUUGAUUCAACACGGGAAAACUUACCAGGGCAAAAAACUGACAGGAUUGACAGCUUGAGAGCGCUUUCUUGAUCCGGUAGCAAGUGGUGCAUGGCCGUUCUUAGUUGGUGGAGUGAUUUGUCCGGUUAAUUCCCUUAACGAACGAGACCUUAACCUGCUAAAUAGGAGCAGUUAAAACCUAGCUGUUUCCUUCUUAGAGGGACUGCCCUCGUAAGGGGGCGGAAGUUUGAGGCAAUAACAGGUCCGUGAUGCCCUUAGAUGUUCUGGGCCGCACGCGUACUACACUGAUGCAUCCAGCAAGUUGACCUAACCCGAAAGGGCUUGGGCAACCUUUACAAACUGCAUCGUGCUUGGGAUAGAUCCUUGUAAUUUUGGGUCUUGAACGAGGAAUUCCUAGUAAGCAUGGGUCAUCAGCCCAUGUUGAUUACGUCCCUGCCCUUUGUACACACCGCCCGUCGCUCCUACCGAUUCGAGUGGUUCGGCGAAUUAUUCGGACCGAGUUUUCUCGGGAAGUUUCGUAAGCCAUAUCACUUAGAGGAAGGAUAAGGCGUAACAAGGUU